GACGAACGCUGGCGGCGUGCUUAACACAUGCCAGUCGAACGGAAAGGCCCUGCUUGCAGGGUGCUCGAGUGGCGAACGGGUGAGUAACACGUGGGUGAUCUGCCCCUUACUUUGGGAUAAGCCUGGGAAACUGGGUCUAAUACUGGAUAGGACCAUGCUGUAGGUGGUGUGGUGGAAAGAUUAGUUUCGGUAAGGGAUGAGCUCGCGGCCUAUCAGCUUGUUGGUGGGGUAAUGGCCUACCAAGGCGUCGACGGGUAGCCGGCCUGAGAGGGUGGACGGCCACAUUGGGACUGAGAUACGGCCCAGACUCCUACGGGAGGCAGCAGUGGGGAAUAUUGCACAAUGGGCGCAAGCCGGAUGCAGCGACGCCGCGUGGGGGAUGACGGCCUUCGGGUUGUAAACUCCUUUCAGCCAUGACGAAGCCCUUGUGGUGACGGUAGUGGUAGAAGAAGCACCGGCUAACUACGUG
This 469-nucleotide ribosomal RNA is filed under the name uncultured bacterium. Its description in RNAcentral is "partial 16S ribosomal RNA". It matches the Rfam family "Bacterial small subunit ribosomal RNA", at positions 28 to 507 of the family's 1533-position model. The record is from RNAcentral.